Molecule: transfer RNA, 72 nt
Filed under: Rhinophis philippinus
Lineage: Eukaryota; Metazoa; Chordata; Lepidosauria; Squamata; Uropeltidae
Description: tRNA-Leu
Source: RNAcentral
UCUACUAAAGGAAAAUAGCCCUCCACUGACCUUAGGAGUCAGCCUUCUUGGUGCAAAUCCAAGUAAUAGAAC